Molecule: ribosomal RNA, 301 nt
Filed under: uncultured bacterium
Lineage: Bacteria
Description: partial 16S ribosomal RNA
Rfam family: Bacterial small subunit ribosomal RNA
Source: RNAcentral
CAGUAGCCGCGGUAAUACGUAGGUGGCAAGCGUUGUCCGGAAUUAUUGGGCGUAAAGCGCGCGCAGGUGGUUUAAUAAGUCUGAUGUGAAAGCCCACGGCUCAACCGUGGAGGGUCAUUGGAAACUGUUAAACUUGAGUGCAGGAGAGAAAAGUGGAAUUCCUAGUGUAGCGGUGAAAUGCGUAGAGAUUGGGAGGAACACCAGUGGCGAAGGCGGCUUUUUGGCCUGUAACUGACACUGAGGCGCGAAAGCGUGGGGAGCAAACAGGAUUAGAUACCCCAGUAGUCCCUGUCUCUUAUAA